UACGUAGGGAGCGAGCGUUGUCCGGAAUUACUGGGCGUAAAGGGCGAGUAGGCGGCUGUUCGUGUAGGGUGUGAAAGGUCCCGGCUUAACCGGGGAAGGUCAUUCUAAACUGGACAGCUAGAGUGCAAGAGAGGCUAACAGAAUUCCCGGUGUAGUGGUGAAAUGCGUAGAUAUCGGGAGGAAUACCAGUGGCGAAGGCGGUUAGCUGGCUUGUAACUGACGCUGAGGCGCGAAGGCUAGGGUAGCAAACAG
RNAcentral lists this ribosomal RNA (252 nucleotides) under uncultured bacterium. RNAcentral describes it as "partial 16S ribosomal RNA". It matches the Rfam family "Bacterial small subunit ribosomal RNA", at positions 524 to 775 of the family's 1533-position model. The record is from RNAcentral.